AAAUUGUAAACUUAGUAGAGGACUUGCGAUUUUGGAUGCGAAAAGCUGGAUUUGGCGACUAGUGCGAGCUAUUUUAAGAAGCAGUAGAAGGACAGAAGUCCACAAUGCCCGGUAGAGGGUAGAAAAAGCAAUGCCAAUGGGAAACUCAAACACAAAUUUCAAUACAAGAAAGCCCUAACCAGGCCCUAACCUAGCGAAACGAUGUUGAAAACAACCCCAAAAUAACUGUUCAAUUCUCAAUGGACGAAGCAACUUACCAUGAUGCAGUAAAUCUAGAUUGAAGACUCGUUUCGUGCAAUUGGCACAACAGGAAACCUCCGAAAAUUUUACUACGAAGAAAAUUGUAAAAGAAGAAACGUGGAUCAGUAUUGCUUAUACAGCCAGGUCAUCAUCUUGGUAGAGUGAGUCUUAGCUUAGUAGAACUCUAGUAGAACUGAACAACCAGUGUCUUAAUGACUAUACCAUUAUGUUCUAGGCAUGCAUGGUACUCAACUUAAAAACAUUUUCUAAAUUUUUUGCAAAUGUGCAUGUGUGUUAAAGUGUAAAUAAAAAGUAUUAAAGAGCUAUACUAUAGAAGCAAUUCCUUUAAUGCGUAGUUGACUUGCUGUACUCAAACAGAAAUGUAAUUGAUCUCAUGUAUUCAAUAUUAUAAUAAUAUAAUAA
This is a long non-coding RNA of Dendronephthya gigantea, 663 nucleotides long. RefSeq lists it as uncharacterized. Lineage: Eukaryota; Metazoa; Cnidaria; Anthozoa; Malacalcyonacea; Nephtheidae. The transcript has 3 exons. The record is from RefSeq and is a predicted model, not a curated record.